CCCCUCUCAGGGUCGCACCUGGAGAGUUUCCAGUACGCUACCAGUCUUGGCUACUGGAGGGAGAGUCAAGCAGAAGUCUACCCAUUCCAUUCCUAGCUUGGCUAGCUAGUGGAAGGCAAUCUGCUACAAAA
RNAcentral lists this small nucleolar RNA (131 nucleotides) under Ornithorhynchus anatinus (platypus). Lineage: Eukaryota; Metazoa; Chordata; Mammalia; Monotremata; Ornithorhynchidae. The record is from RNAcentral.